This is a long non-coding RNA of Oncorhynchus nerka (sockeye salmon), 956 nucleotides long. RefSeq lists it as uncharacterized. The record is from RefSeq and is a predicted model, not a curated record. The transcript is spliced from 2 exons. NCBI's taxonomy places the organism in Eukaryota, Metazoa, Chordata, Actinopteri, Salmoniformes, Salmonidae.
GGCUGGAAAUAGUUGGCCUAUGUAGAAUAUCAUUUUUACUUUCAUUUAGAGCUGUUGUUCUCCGCUCUGUUAAAUGAGGGUUGUAAGUUCCUAGGUGGCUGGUAGCCAACUUAGUACAUAGUGGGAUUGAGAGGAGAACAUGGUGGUAAUACAUAUACAUCCAUUUCUUUUUAAUGUUGUGCCUUUUUCAUAGCCCCUUUGGGAAAAGUUUUCUUUUGUAUCAGAAUCUAGUUAGGUUGUGUCACGUCUCUGGGGAGACGUGAAGAGAGGGAUUUGUAGAGGACUGCUAAUUCCUAUGUAGGUGACAUUACACUACUAUAGCUGAGACACAUAGUAAAACAGGUUGGGCCCCAUACAGGAUAUCUCUCACACACACACACUCACUGUAAUCAUCCAGAACACUGUCACAACAGGAUACUCCUAGCCACAGGUGCUAGCCGGCAGUUCGGCCACAACUCCCCUGAAGAUAGGGACGCAUACGCUCUUACACACUGACCCCAGAAGACAGGGACGACGCACAUACAGUACACACAUAGCUGCCGAGGACACCCAGAUAAGACACCCACAGAUUGGCAGAAAGCCUAGACUUAGAGACAAACUAACACACACACAUAAUCUCCCUCCCAGCCGAACAUUGUGUGACUGAAGAUAGCGCACACACCAGAUCUCCUUUUCAGCUGAACGGGGUGUGACGACCAAGAACAGGCAUGGCAGGAUUCUACGAUGACGGACAGACAACAGAGCCAAUGCCGGAUGACUACACCCCAGCCUGAUCCAAUCCGAAGAUCCGAUCUCCUAGAUAUCAACCUACUUUCUGUUCUGUAUAUGAAGCUUGUACCCAUUGUUAGCUAGUGUCUUUUUUGCUAGUCUCUGAUGAGCUAACAGAGGGGCCCGUAUAUACGCUGUACCAGAUAUCUCCACUUUGAAAUAAACCUGUCGCUUGUCGUACAAUCUAC